AAGUUCUACUUAAACUACCCCUUG
RNAcentral lists this transfer RNA (24 nucleotides) under Megaderma spasma (lesser false vampire bat). Its description in RNAcentral is "partial transfer RNA-Pro". The record is from RNAcentral. Lineage: Eukaryota; Metazoa; Chordata; Mammalia; Chiroptera; Megadermatidae.